Molecule: long non-coding RNA, 3377 nt
Organism: Eublepharis macularius
Lineage: Eukaryota; Metazoa; Chordata; Lepidosauria; Squamata; Eublepharidae
Exons: 2
Source: RefSeq, a predicted model, not a curated record
CACAGGCCAUAGCCACAAAGUGGACACUUUACCUGAUCUGAUUAGUCGAUGUGUCAAGCAAGCUAUCAGAAGCUCCACUACAGUGUCUGCCAUGAUGAUGACGAUGAUGAUGAUGUGGAGUGGGUGAAUGCAGCAAAAUUGCACAGAUGGAUUACAAAGCUAGACAUAACAGGGUCGCAAAGCUGAUUCAUUGGUCAUUGAGUAAAAAGUAUAAUCUGCCAGUAUCAAAGAAUUCAUGGGAACAUCAGGUGGAAAAAGUGCUAGAAAAUGAUCAAGUCAAGAUCUUACGGGAUUUUAGAAUACAAACUGAUCGACACCUUGAACAUAAUACACCAGACAUAACAGCAGUCGUGGAAUUUUUUUUUAAAAAAAUGGAUAAUUGACAUUGCAAUUCCGGGGGAUGCUAGAGUCGAAGAAAAAGAACAAGAAAAAAUGAUUAAAUAUAGAAAUCUGGCAAUAGAAACCACCCGACUAUAGAUGAAGAAUACAACAGUAGUCCCCAUUGUCAUCGGGGCGCUGGGAACUAUUUCAAAAAACUUUGCAACUUAAGUAGAAAAACUGCAGCUUUCUGAUUCAACACCUACAGAACUGCAAAAGAUGGCAUUACUUGGAACAGCAUACAUUUUACACUGAUACCUGGUUGAUACUUAGGUCUCUAGUGGAAACUUGUACCAGCUUAGCAAGGCCAAUCAAUUAUAACAUGUACUCUUUAUUUAUUAUUGAUUGUGUUGUGUGAAAUUUGAAUAAUAAUAAUAAUGAUGAUGAUGAUAUUACCUAGAAGUGACUAGGAUAUAUGUUAAAGAAACAAUAUUAGGCUAUGCUGGCUCUGUUCCCUGGUCUAUUUGUAAAGUUACUUAGGAUUGCCAGGUCCCCUCACCCUCCUGGAAGGAGGGGCAAGUGGCACUCACUUUUUUUAAUUUGAUUAUAUCACUUCCAGAAAGUGAUAUCAUUGUGCCACACUGAAAGCGCUCCCACAUUUCACAACGGGCCAAUUUGGACCCCAAACAGGCCCGCUUGGAGCUGAAGUCAGCAUGCUACGAAGCACAGGAAUACUCCAGGGGUGGUCUGAUGACAUCAUUCCCAGGAGUGACAUCUUAGCACUGCCCUGGGAGUGUGCCCAGGAGGCCUAUUUCUCCACCUCCCCCCUCUGCUGGCCAGGUGAGUGGUAGCAGGAGGCAGAAGGCAGGAGCAGGGGAUCCCCCCACCAGGGGACCUGGAAUCCCUAAAGUUACUCCUUGUGGAACGGAGAACCUGUCUCAAGGGACUGCUGCACAGCUGAUGGUAGCUGAAAUACUAUGAAGAACGUUGUUUCAAUAAAACUCCUCAACACUUUUUUUACACAAAAACGUGGUGCCUUCCAAAGAGAUAUCUAACAUACUCAUUUUAACACAAACAAGUGAUAGUCAAAUAUAUUUGAAGAGAAGGACAGUCUCCUGUUUUAAAAAUUCACAAUUUAAGUAAAUUAAGAGGAUUUUUUGUCCCUUUGUCUUAAUUAUUCUGGCUGCAUCACUGAGAAGAUUAGAAGGGCUUUUGGCACACCGUGGCACUUCUUUUUAGUGCCAGAGGCUCUGGCAGAUCAAAGGAGCCAUCACUUCAAACAGUUUGUGGCUUAUCAAAUGCUUAUCCUAGCACUGACCUCUCAGUCAUCUAUUAACAAACUCACUCUUUUUUCCAUCUAACAAUCCUUCUUCCCCAAUUUUGUUUGAGGAUCAUAGUUAGGCAGUUUAAACAGUUUACAGAAAACGACACAUUCUGACCUUCCUAGAUUCACCCAAUUUUCCCUAUUAAAGAGGAUUAAUUCCAAGAAACAAACUCAUUUUGGAACUAAAAAUGUGUUCAAGAUAGGAAAUAACUUUCAAGACCCAAUUAGUUUAAUGAUAUGGCAAACAAGUGGUGAUGUAGUUUUUGGUUAUGCAUUCCUAACAUGCUUUAAAGAAAACAUUUGAAGGAAAUAUUAACUGAGAUAUCAAACAGGAAGGGAGAAAUUCCGGUACUUAUAAUACUAGGGCCAAUUCGCACGACCCAAAACCAGACCAGAGCAUGCUGCAACCUCUCUGUGCACCAUAACUGCCCUUCUAUUUAUUUUAGUUCAAGGCAAUGAAAUCAGUUUAUGAAAAAGACUAAAUCCUCCAUGGUGACAGUACCUUCAAGCAUACUAGCAUCUUUAUCAUUAUACAGUAGAAGUUACUGUAUAAGAUUUUAAGUGUUCAACACUGUUUUCUGACUCCUUUUAAGCUGCUUUCUCUGAGCAAAGAAACUUAAUGAAUAGGUAAGUUUUAUUUGUUUAAUUUGUAAUUAACUACAUUUCUAUAUGUGCCUUUAUUUUUAUUUGUUUAUUUAUUUAAAACAUUUCUAUGCUGCUUUUCCACUCAGCUCAGGUUCCCCUAGGCAGCCAAGACCUAAUUGCCUGGGCCACAUAGUUUGCUUACAGGUCCAGCCUAAGUGGAGUUACAGCUUUCUAAGCCCAUUGACUUUGAUGAACUAAUGGCUCAGACUUUCCAUUCAACUUUCUCCUCCUCAGUGUCUACAGUAGUUAAGUGGUUUGGCUAUGAAUGAGCACUCUACUGGUUCAAAUCCCACUACUGCCAUGAGCUCAGUAGGUGGCCUUGGGUAAGCCUCUCCUCUCAGCCCCAGUUCCCCAGCUGUAUUGUAGGGAUAAUAAUAACAUUAACUUGUUUGCUGCUCUAGGUGGGGCAUUUAUUAUUAUUUCUCAGAGUCCUGCCUCUGUUUCACCUUUACAAGUUGAUCUAUAAAAAUAUAAGUCAGAUCUGAAUCUCUGUCAAAUAUCAGGAGCUAGACAGAAUAUGCAUAUUCCUGACAUUCUGCAAUCACUCCAUUGGCUUCCUAUUAGUUACCAGGCUCAAUUCAUGGUAUUAACCCUUCAUGACCUUGGUCUCUCAUAUCUGUUGGACUGAAUCCUUAUGCUUUGCCAAGGCAGUUUUGCUCAUCUGAACAUGGCCUUCUGCAGGAACCACAUCACAAAUGGAAAAAAACCAACAACUGCUCAUACUGUUGUGGCCCUCUUCUUAUGGAAUGGCAUGCUUGAUGAGGUUCAGAGGGCUCCUAUUCUCCUGCCUUCCCACAAACUGUGCAAAACUGAAUUAUUCAGGAUGGCUUAUUUCACUUGGGUAGGAGGUCUGUACUGUAAUGGUUCAAAGAGAUGCAUUGGUAAUGAGAGUGGGACGAUAGAUGAUACUUUUGUAUACUGUCUGUUGCUGAAUGUUCCAACUGGUUAAUUUCUGUGCUGUUUAAUAUGUCAUGUUCAAUUACUUAUGCUUUGUUUCAGCUCUAUGACAGAUUUAUGCUUGUUUUCACAUUUCUGCACAUUUUAUUUUUGCAUAUCCUAUUGUAUUGUUUAUUAAAUGUUCCCACUGUAA